Molecule: long non-coding RNA, 665 nt
Filed under: Mustela putorius furo (domestic ferret)
Lineage: Eukaryota; Metazoa; Chordata; Mammalia; Carnivora; Mustelidae
Description: lncRNA (ENSMPUG00000028775.1)
Source: RNAcentral
GGAAUGAACUGCAGUCACACUUGAGAAACUUACUGAGGAGUUGUAUGAUGUGUAGAGAGAAAAUUGAUUUUGCUGCUUAUCUUCAGCUGUCAACUGUCAACCGCUUUUUCAGUUAAACUGCUUGAAGUACAAUGUACUGAUGAGACAAGUACUGGUCAGUUAUGCAUAUUAUCUCUAAUCCUCAGAACACCCCUGCAAGGUAGCUAAUAUUAUCUCCAUGUUAUAAGCAAGCAAACCAAAGCUUCAAGAUGUUUAGUAAGCCGCUCCAGGCUCAGAGAUGAGGAGCGGUGAAGUUGAUAUUAGAUCUCAGGUGCUUUCACCUGGCCCCCAAGUCUUCUACAACAUUAUAUCAAGGAUAGAUCUACAGAGACCAAAAUGCUCAUUUUCAAGACUGUCACAGAAGAGAAUGAUAACAGCCUUGAUACAUAGCCAUUACUGUUCAUGUCACAAGUUAAACAUGAUGCUUUGAAAAAUGUUUACACCAUUGAAUAUCAUUCGGAAAUCCAUCGUUUCCAGGUGCCUGGAUGGCUCAGUUGUUAAGCAGCUGCCUUUGGCUCAGGUUGUGAUCCCAGAGUUAGGAUCCUUCUCCCUGCUCAGCCAGAAGCCUGCUUCUCCCUCUCCCACUCCCACUGCUUGUGUUCCCUCUCUCACUGUGUGCUCUCCCU